GCGGCAUGCCUAACACAUGCAAGUCGAACGAGACCUUCGGGUCUAGUGGCGCACGGGUGCGUAACGCGUGGGAAUCUGCCCUUGGGUUCGGAAUAACAGUGAGAAAUUACUGCUAAUACCGGAUGAUGUCUUCGGACCAAAGAUUUAUCGCCCAGGGAUGAGCCCGCGUAAGAUUAGGUAGUUGGUGGGGUAAUGGCCUACCAAGCCGACGAUCUUUAGCUGGUCUGAGAGGAUGAUCAGCCACACUGGGACUGAGACACGGCCCAGACUCCUACGGGAGGCAGCAGUGGGGAAUAUUGGACAAUGGGCGAAAGCCUGAUCCAGCAAUGCCGCGUGAGUGAUGAAGGCCUUAGGGUUGUAAAGCUCUUUUACCAGGGAUGAUAAUGACAGUACCUGGAGAAUAAGCUCCGGCUAACUCCGUGCCAGCAGCCGCGGUAAUACGGAGGGAGCUAGCGUUGUUCGGAAUUACUGGGCGUAAAGCGCGCGUAGGCGGCAUGAUAAGUCAGGGGUGAAAUCCCGGGGCUCAACCUCGGAACUGCCUUUGAAACUAUCACGCUAGAAUCUUGGAGAGGUCAGUGGAAUUCCGAGUGUAGAGGUGAAAUUCGUAGAUAUUCGGAAGAACACCAGUGGCGAAGGCGACUGACUGGACAAGUAUUGACGCUGAGGUGCGAAAGCGUGGGGAGCAAACAGGAUUAGAUACCCUGGUAGUCCACGCCGUAAACGAUGAUAACUAGCUGUCCGGGCUCUUGGAGCUUGGGUGGCGCAGCUAACGCAUUAAGUUAUCCGCCUGGGGAGUACGGUCGCAAGAUUAAAACUCAAAGGAAUUGACGGGGGCCUGCACAAGCGGUGGAGCAUGUGGUUUAACGAGCGCAACCCUCGUCCUUAGUUGCCAUCAUUUAGUUGGGCACUCUAAGGAAACUGCCGGUGAUAAGCCGGAGGAAGGUGGGGAAGACGUCAAGUCCUCAUGGCCCUUACACGCUGGGCUACACACGUGCUACAAUGGCGGUGACAGUGGGCAGCAAGCACGCGAGUGUGAGCUAAUCUCCAAAAGCCGUUUCAGUUUGGAUUGUUCUUUGCAACUCGAGAGCAAGAAGGCGGAAUCGCUAGUAAUCGCGGAUCAGCAUGCCGCGGUGAAUACGUUCCCAGGCCUUGUACACACCGCCCGUCACACCAUGGGAGUUGGGUUCACCCGAAGGCGUUGCGCUAACUCGCAAGAGAGGCAGGCGACCACGGUGGGCUUAGCGACUGGGGUGAAGUCGUAACAAGGUAGCCGUAGGGGAACCUGCGGCUGGAUCACCUCCUUUCU
RNAcentral lists this ribosomal RNA (1306 nucleotides) under uncultured organism. Its description in RNAcentral is "partial 16S ribosomal RNA". It matches the Rfam family "Bacterial small subunit ribosomal RNA". The record is from RNAcentral.